Molecule: long non-coding RNA, 2200 nt
Organism: Chenopodium quinoa (quinoa)
Lineage: Eukaryota; Viridiplantae; Streptophyta; Magnoliopsida; Caryophyllales; Amaranthaceae
Exons: 3
Source: RefSeq, a predicted model, not a curated record
UUCUGGGCCGGAGCGAGGUGGUCGACAGAACAGGGCACUCAAAUUUGAGGGGCUCCAAAAUCUAGAUAUAUGUAAUUAAGUUUGGUAUAAUAUCGUGAAAUUGCAGUUGGAGUAGUGUAUACAAGAUCUUGGGUUCGAGCCAUGCAUGAUACAAUUUUUUAAUUUUUUUGGGAGCUGGACAGCUGGCAUUGAAUGUACCAUUCCUCUAGAAACCUCCAAAUACAUUGAAUGUACCCUCCCUCUAGAAACCUCCACCCAAACCAGCAAACCCAUUCUAAUUCCCAAAAUUUUUUCCCAAAAAUUCAGAUAUCUUUCUUCCCAAAAUUUUUUCAAUCUACCAUUCUAAUUCCCAAAAAAAAAACUCUAUAUCUUCCAAAACUCUAUAAUUUCUUAUUUACUUUCUUUUAUUAUCUUCAUUUUCUUCAAUUAUUCAAUUAAUUUUCAAAUUUUUUCAUCUCCCAAAAUUAUUUUUCCCAUAUUAAUUCAUAAUUUCAACGGUUAAAUCUUCAAUUUUAAGAUGAAAUUAAUUAUUAAACCGUUGUUAAUCUCCCAAAUUUUCCUAUAUAUGCAUUUUAUUCACUCUUUCAAUUUUACAAAUAAAAAAGAAAUCUUUAAGAUAAUCUUAAUUCCAAAAUUCUUUGCAAGUAUUGUGAGUAUAGGCUAUAGCUAGUAAUCGGAAAAAAUUUCAUCACGAACCUCUUCGGAUUCAACACCGGAUACGACUUUUUGUUAAAUUUUAAUAUUUGGAAGUUGAACAAUCGACGCUUUUGUCAUUGGUGAAGACUUUUGAUUCGACUCUUGCUGUGUACGAAGGCUUCCGCAAUUUAAAACAGAUUACAGAGAUUGAUGAUGGAAUAUUGGAUUAUACAUAGCAAUUAGCGAUCUUGGAUCUGUCGAAUUCAAUCGUUGGCUUAUUAUAAGCUAUUUCUGGUGAUAUUUUUCCUCUCUAUCAAAUAUUUUGUGCAAUUGUAUUUAAUAUGUUUCGAAAGUAUCCAUCUGGACAUGAAAAACGGAAUAAAAAAAAAGAAGGAAGAUCAAUUCAUUCAAUCACAAAAAGGUGCUUUAGAUAAGGUUUUUUUUAAAGUGCCACAAUCAAGUGAAAAUCUUAUUGACUCAGAGUUGUUAGAUGAAAAUAAUGUUGGUGGUGAUAAUGUUAAUGUUGAUAAUGAUAAUGUAGAUGCGAAUAAUGCCAAUGUUAAUGUUGAUGAUAAUAAUAUUAAUGUUGAGCGAGAAGAUGUGAAUCUGAAUAAUGUAGAUGAUUUUGAACAAAAUGUGGAAGAAAAUUCAGACCAUAAUAUUCACAAUGUUGAAGAAAAUGAUUUUGUUUCUCAUGAUAUAUAUGUUCCAUCCAAGGAUAUGGGGAGCUCUUGAUCAAAAAUCGAUUGAUAUUUUGGCUAUCAAUGGCCCUAAAAGAGACUUAACCAUAGUGAAAGGCCCUAAAGACAAAGUAUCUAGGAGAUUUACUUCAAAUUUGUAUGUUAGAUAUUUGCCUAAUGGUGAAACAUAUGAUAGAGAUUGGCUUGUUUAUUUUAAGAAAUUGACAAAGUAUUUUGUUUUUGCUGUAAAAUCUUCCAAAAGGGUCAUGGAAAAGGCAAUUUGGUUAAUGAAGGAUAUAAUGAUUGGUCACAUAUUAGUCAUAGACUUAAAGAACAUGAAACAAGUGUUGAUCACGUUUUUAACAUGGCUGCUUGGUGUGAACUAAGAAAUAGAUUGAAAAAUCAUGAAACAAUAGACAAAGUUGCCCAAGACCAAUUUCAAAAAGAAAAAGAGUAUUGGAAAAGUGUCAUUAUUAAUUAGAAUAAUUGCUAUUGUGAAGUUUCUUGGUAAAAAUAACCUUGCAUUUCGUGGGAAACACGAAAGGUUAUAUCAAAGUAGCAAUGGAAAUUUUUUAGGUCUGAUUGAAAUGUUGGCUGAGUUUGAUCCUGUGAUUAUUGAGCAUGUUCAUCAUAUUGAGAAUGGAAUUAUUCAUCAUCAUUAUCUUAGCCAUGAUAUUCAGAAUGAAUAGGUAUUCUUACUUGCUUCUAAAAUCAAUGAUGCUAUUAUGAAAAAAAUAAAAGAAGUUGAUGUUGGAUUAUACACCUGAUGCUAGUCAUCAAGAACAAAUGACAUUAAUUUUAAGGUGUGUUGAUAAAUGUUCAAAUUCUUAUAAAGUUAAAGAAUUUUUCAUUGAGUUAUUACAAGUUAAUGAUACUACUGGUCU